GACCUAUAAACCCUGCGGCUCCCCAAGUGCGGCCCGUCCCCCCACCCCCGCCCGUUCCCACUCCUCCCGGGCGGGUGUGGCCUUUAGGGGGCGGGGCCGGGCGCUGGGUCUGCACCCAAGGACCGCCUUUGUCUUCACCUGGCUGCUCGGUCCCCAGUGUCAGGACCGGGAAUUUUAAAGAAUUGCUGAACGUUCGACGGAAAGAUGCGGUAAAACACCCCCAGAGUAUCUUGAACUUUAGCGGAGCACAUGGCUUUCCAGCUAGAGACCACAUCUCGCAGCUUCUUUUGCAGUUUCCUAGAAAAUGGCAACAACCAGGGUGAUCACGUGAGAUGCAAAAAUGGAAGGUAAAGAUUGAAGAUGACAGACUGUCAGAGCCUGUAUGACAUCACGUAGCAGAGCCACCCAGCAGUGUCCCCAGCCCACGGCUGCAGUGUUCCAUGAGGAACAAGUUAACAUUGAUGCUACUUAAGGUAUGUAUUUUAAAGACUUUGUUACCACAGCUUAGCCUCUGUCUUGACAAAUAUAUAAUUUAAGCUCCAAAAGAAUAAAAGAAGGGAAAAAAACAUU
Long non-coding RNA from Lynx canadensis (Canada lynx), 570 nucleotides. RefSeq lists it as uncharacterized. The transcript has 3 exons. Lineage: Eukaryota; Metazoa; Chordata; Mammalia; Carnivora; Felidae. The record is from RefSeq and is a predicted model, not a curated record.